This 253-nucleotide ribosomal RNA is filed under the name uncultured bacterium. RNAcentral describes it as "partial 16S ribosomal RNA". It matches the Rfam family "Bacterial small subunit ribosomal RNA", at positions 524 to 776 of the family's 1533-position model. The record is from RNAcentral.
UACGUAGGUGGCGAACGUUAUCCGGAGUGACUGGGCGUAAAGGGUCCGUAGGCGGGACGGUCAGCCGGCUGUGAAAUCUUCCAGCUCACCUGGGAGGGGUCAGUCGGAACUGCCGUUCUGGAAUCCGUGCGAGGUCGGUGGAAUUCCCGGUGUAGUGGUGGAAUGCGUAGAGAUCGGGAGGAACGCCAAAGGCGCAGGCAACUGGCUAGCACGAGAUUGACGCUGAGGGACGAAGGCGUGGGGAGCGAACAGG